Molecule: long non-coding RNA, 1034 nt
Filed under: Mustela putorius furo (domestic ferret)
Lineage: Eukaryota; Metazoa; Chordata; Mammalia; Carnivora; Mustelidae
Description: lncRNA (ENSMPUG00000031604.1)
Source: RNAcentral
AAAAAAUACUGGGCAGAUAAAGUUGCCUGUGGGAUGGUAGAUAUUUUUGGACUUCUCAGCAAGAUUCCUGGAACCAUUUUGUUUUCAGCAUGGCCGGGCUUGACCUCCUCUUGCAGUCCUUGGAAAAAUAAAUACCAACAGGUGGACUGGCCUACACCUAGCAAGGGAGAGAGAAGGAUGAGACCAAGAGACACCUCUCCAGCUGGAGCCCAGCAAAUCCACCAAACUGGUCCAGCUAUCAUCUGUUCUCAUUUAGGUCUUCUUCAAAACACAGGAUAGACGAAACAAGGCUUUUUUUUGUAUCUUUAAAAACAUCUUUACAGCUGCAAGUAGUUUCUUUCACCUUUCUUCUCCCCUCCAAGCUGCCUUUGGUGGUCGUUUUAGCCUGAGUUUACCUGCAUAAAAGCACCCCUGGGGAGGAGUACGAUUUGUCCUCAUCCUGUACCACUAGGAAUGGAUGGCCUUGCAUGUGGGGUCAGGGUGGCCUGUGUCCAAGGUGUUUUGCUUCUGCAAUAUUAAUGAAGUCAGCCUCCUCCAAGAAUGUCCUCAAAUCCCCUGAAGGUUCUUAGAUGUUGCAGUUUGCAUUUCGCUAUUUACAUUAGCAAAAACUGUUGUACAAACAGGCCUGUCAGUCAGGGCUCGCCUGGCUUCACUUCAGAGAAGGAAUCAGAAGUGUGAGUUAAAUGAGCCCAGCAGGCAUUUAACCUCUGGGUCUGGAAAAAUCCUGACUCAUGGAGUGAUCUGGGAGGUGGGAAGGCAGCCCCAUUUGGUGAAGAAGCUUAAAGCAUCCCAAACCAAGGCUAGAACAAAUGAUGAUGGUCACAGCUACCAUAGGAUAGUCACUCUGUGCCAGCCACUGUGCUGGUAAUCCUCAAAGCCAUUUGUUGUGUUAGAGAGGUUUUAUUCUUAGUUUACACCCAUGGAAACUGAGCUGCAGAGAAAUGAUCUUGACCAAGGUCCGAGCACGAUAAGUGGUGGUACAGGAGUGAAUGCUUGCCGUCUGUCUUCUGAUCUUGUGCUUUUAACCAUAAUCC